AUGCUGGAUCUUCACCCCCCUAUGCCCCGCCCAGCAAUCUCCUUCCCCGUUCCAAACUUAAAUGGAAACCCUAGCGCCGCCUUGGGUGGCGGCUACCUUCACUACCCGCAGCAUCUCCGAUACCUCAUACCCUGCUCAGUCAACUCCUACAUGCGUAACCUGAAUCUGAGUGUUAACCUCAGAGCCGCCUUGAGCCGCCUGCAUGAUCGCCAAUCUCCCAUGGCCAGCUCAGGCAACUCCAUCCACACACUGAACCCAAACACAAACCUGAACCUGAGCGCCAACCCCAGCGCCGCCUCGCACGGCCACUACCUUCAGAACACGCAGGAUAUUUGA
Molecule: ribosomal RNA, 336 nt
Filed under: Triticum aestivum (bread wheat)
Lineage: Eukaryota; Viridiplantae; Streptophyta; Magnoliopsida; Poales; Poaceae
Description: partial small subunit ribosomal RNA
Source: RNAcentral